Molecule: long non-coding RNA, 2212 nt
Organism: Taeniopygia guttata (zebra finch)
Lineage: Eukaryota; Metazoa; Chordata; Aves; Passeriformes; Estrildidae
Source: Ensembl
GUGUGACUGCUUUACAGGCUUACAGAUCAUGUCAGGUGAAACCAGGCAAUGUUUAACAAGGUGCCAGUUGAAGAAGGUGAGACAGGGCAAAUCAAGAACAUUGUUCUGGCAGUGCAAGAGUGAUAGGAAGCACCAUUUACAUUUCUAGAUGCAGUAUAUGGUAUGGCUGAGAAUUAAGCUGCUGGUACACUUGCUGCCUUUGUCUUACAAUCUUACUGUGGCCAUAAAGAGUGAAUGCCACAGAGACAUGGGCUCAACAUAAGGCAGAGGGGAAUUGCAAUGAAAUGCUAAAAUAUGUGCUGUGGAAGGCUAUGUCCUCUGUGCUUCCCGUUUCCAAGGAGGAAGGUCAAGAUGUUGCCUAAAUGAUAGCAACUCUUUAUUUGAGUUUAUUGCAAACCAAACGGGAACAAUUUGAGAAUAUUUUCGUGUGUUUUCAUGCUGAUGUCUACACAUGUAUACAACGAACAGUACAAACAAUUGUAAGAACAUGGAGACACCACCUGACUUUCUUACCAGUACAGUGGUACAGUUGCAGUGUAUCACUAAAAAACUUUUACUUACCUCUGGAAAAAUGCAAACCAUUAAGUAGGAAAAACUGGGGACAUGGCUUAGAAGGCUAUCCAUAUUUAAAACUAAUGCGAUUGGAAAAAACAUUUUAAACUGUAGUCCCAGGCAUGUAUUUUAGCACUAGUGUUAGCAUGCAUUCCCUUUGCUUAGAGCUGGAGAGCUCUGGGAGAAAUGUGAAGUAGGCAGGAAAAGGAGAACCGUGUGUCAGGGCCAUUGCUGUCAAAUGGCCUCCUCACACACUGCAGAUGUUGCUCAAGCAUGAGCCAGGGAGUGUGUGGAAUAAAAAGCAGCCUGUGGAACUUUAGUAGAGAAUAAAUUCUGCAGAAAGCUUGCAGUGUUCCUCUCUGCCACAAAAGAAUUUCACAAGCAGGAGUGAGGUCUAUACAGGACUCUCUACAUGGGCUGAUCUUAAGGUACUCUUGGUAUAUAAACAUUAGUUUUAAAUCGUACCAAUAUUUUCCUUUAGGAAAUUCCAAGAAGGUCCAGCAUAAUAUGGCCAUAAGCAUGACUUACACUAAGAGAGGAAACAGUCCUGUGCAAUAUAUAUAAUAUCAGUGUUUCACUUUGAAAUAAUUUUUUAUUGACAACAAAGUCAAUUUUGAGAAUAAAAAUUGUAAAAGGGUAAAUUUUCUAGCCAAAAAAACCCCUAAAAAUGGUAACUUUAUCUCAUGAGACCAAAUAAUAUAGAUCUGAGAUCUAUAUAGUCAAAUUAAAAUGUUCCAAUCUCUCAGAGAGGAACCACAGAAAUUUGAGUUGUGGCCAUAUAUUAUUCCAGAUAUUGUAUGAUGAAUAUGUGGUUUAUUGAUUUGACAAGUAAUACAGUUUUCCCCCAGGAAAAAAGUGAAUUUGUGGCAAAUGGUCUAAUAGAAUGGUACAAGUAAUUGAUGGAGUUAUGCACAAUCUGUUGGGUGAGAUGAAAGAUCUGAAAAGCCUCUGAAUUAUUAGUUUUCCUGUUGUCACAGUGCAAGAUGUGCCUAUAGUCAAAGUAAGUUUAAAAAAAAAAAUAUAGCAUAAGCUAGAAAAUACUAGGGUGAAAAGAAGAAUAAUUAUUAACUCAAUUCCUUUGUCAAGAUAAUUUAAAAAUCAUGGUUGAGGAAGCUCAUAAAUAAACACAAUUGUCACUGCAAAAAUUUUGCUAAAAAUAAGGAGUUAUAUUUUGAAUUACCUUUUUUGUAUACAUAUAGCUUUAAAAUAUUUAAAAUAUAAUAAAGUGGUCUUUAGCUAUAUAGUUAUACAUUUUAGGUAAUUACCAGUUAACUUGUUAGACUUGUAACUGAUAAAAGAUAUGCACGUGCAGAAAUCUCUACAGAUUCAAAAGGUUCAGAUAAUAAAUAGUUGUUCUUAUUUAUACUUAGAGAUAAGCAUUGUUACUGCUGCCCUACAAACCUCAUAGCUUGCUUAAGGCUACACUGUGUAAAUUGAGAGACAAUUUCCCUCUUGCAGUAAUAGGAAGCUGUUAACACUUUGGAAAACAUGAGAUUGUCCUUAAAUACCUGUUACUUCAGUUUUGCAUGAAUAUGACUUCUGGUCAGUGUAGCUUCUCUCUGCUUGUAGCUAAGCUUGUCAAACUGAUGUCCAUGUUUUAAAGGAGGAACGUUGAAGCUUUUUGUAAAAACGCUUAUAUAGCUGGAAAUAAAAUGAUUAA